AUUCUUUUAGUGGUUCUUACCACCCCUGAGUGACCUCCUAUUAUACUUGAAUGGUACUCAUUUAGUAGUAAUGGAAUCACCGAGGAUUUUGGAUUUAGGACAUAUCUAUCAUAAAAUAAUACAUACCCUUCUUUAGAGAUUCUCAUGUCUGCCAUUCCAUUUAAUUUCCAGCGAUGAUCUUGUAGAAAUAAGAUUCUCAAUGACAUAUUUAGUUGUUAAUUAAUUUUAAGUACAGUAAACCCUAAUUAACAAGAUAUAGAAAUAUAUGAGUUAAAGCUAAAUAGAUCUAUAAAACUCAUAUAUAUAAAAUUGACUUGAUAUAUGAUUAAACUAAAGUGAGAUUAGUAUUAAUUAUUUCCAUAACAAAUCUCUCCAUUAUUAAUCAAGUUAAUUAUUGAAACUUGUAUUUAAUUAUGCACACCUAUUUGAUUGUAUUAACUCUUGUUUAAGUUGAUCAAUGUCUUAAAGGUUAAUCAACAAGGUGUGAAACUACAACUAUUCAUUCAAGCUUCAAAUGGACCCAAGGUGUAGAAAACGUGUAGAAGUGCAAUCAUGAUAAAGAUUCCAAGAGCAUAACCAAUAUAUUAACUACAAGGAUCUUGGAUUCAAUGCUACACAAAAUCCUAGUUGAAGAGUUCAAAUUGAAGAAGUGCAAAACAUGUGGAGGCUCAAUCUCCCAAGAUGAAAUCCAAUCAAGAUCUUGAAUUUAAUGUUAUACAAUCUCCAAGAUGAAAAUUCAAAUUCAGGAAAAGCUCUCCACCAAUGAAAAUCGUCUAUGGAGUAUUCAAUGAGAGUUUUUGAAUCUCUUCUUCCUAGGUGUUUUGAAGAUGAAGAAUUUACCUCCAUGCCACUCACGUCCACUAUAAAAGGAGGUGCACACCAAAGAGCUAAAGUCAUCACUUGCCAAUUAUUGCUGAUUCACCUCCUUGAUGUUAAACGGUAUCGUAACAGUGUAGCAUCUCUUCUAAGAAUCUGAUCAGUUCAAAUCGGUUGACGACUUAUCAAAAUCUUAAUUUGAGUUCAAAAAAUACAUAGUUUUUUUCUAUGAUAUAAUAUGGGCGCGCAUCAAGUGCGCCAUACCUUGAAUGUGUCAAAAUGCGUCAUCAAAUCGCG
This 1113-nucleotide long non-coding RNA is filed under the name Zostera marina. Its description in RNAcentral is "long non-coding RNA (ZMAR_LNC004257)". The record is from RNAcentral. Lineage: Eukaryota; Viridiplantae; Streptophyta; Magnoliopsida; Alismatales; Zosteraceae.